This 433-nucleotide ribosomal RNA is filed under the name uncultured bacterium. RNAcentral's name for it is "partial 16S ribosomal RNA". It matches the Rfam family "Bacterial small subunit ribosomal RNA", at positions 29 to 507 of the family's 1533-position model. The record is from RNAcentral.
AACGAACGCUGGCGGCAUGCCUAACACAUGCAAGUCGAACGAAGGCUUCGGCCUUAGUGGCGCACGGGUGCGUAACGCGUGGGAAUCUGCCCUUUGCUUCGGAAUAACAGUUAGAAAUGACUGCUAAUACCGGAUGAUGUCGCAAGACCAAAGAUUUAUCGGCAAAGGAUGAGCCCGCGUAGGAUUAGCUAGUUGGUGGGGUAAAGGCCUACCAAGGCGACGAUCCUUAGCUGGUCUGAGAGGAUGAUCAGCCACACUGGGACUGAGACACGGCCCAGACUCCUACGGGAGGCAGCAGUGGGGAAUAUUGGACAAUGGGCGAAAGCCUGAUCCAGCAAUGCCGCGUGAGUGAUGAAGGCCUUAGGGUUGUAAAGCUCUUUUACCCGGGAUGAUAAUGACAGUACCGGGAGAAUAAGCACCGGCUAACUCCGUG